GGAGGUGUUGCUGAGUGGUUGAAAG
This 25-nucleotide transfer RNA is filed under the name Laminaria ochroleuca. RNAcentral's name for it is "partial tRNA-Ser". Lineage: Eukaryota; Phaeophyceae; Laminariales; Laminariaceae. The record is from RNAcentral. RNAcentral also lists the same sequence under 2 other names.